UUAAGCGACUAAGCGUACACGGUGGAUGCCCUGGCAGUCAGAGGCGAUGAAGGACGUGCUAAUCUGCGAUAAGCGUCGGUAAGGUGAUAUGAACCGUUAUAACCGGCGAUUUCCGAAUGGGGAAACCCAGUGUGUUUCGACACACUAUCAUUAACUGAAUCCAUAGGUUAAUGAGGCGAACCGGGGGAACUGAAACAUCUAAGUACCCCGAGGAAAAGAAAUCAACCGAGAUUCCCCCAGUAGCGGCGAGCGAACGGGGAGCAGCCCAGAGCCUGAAUCAGUGUGUGUGUUAGUGGAAGCGUCUGGAAAGGCGCGCGAUACAGGGUGACAGCCCCGUACACAAAAAUGCACAUGCUGUGAGCUCGAUGAGUAGGGCGGGACACGUGGUAUCCUGUCUGAAUAUGGGGGGACCAUCCUCCAAGGCUAAAUACUCCUGACUGACCGAUAGUGAACCAGUACCGUGAGGGAAAGGCGAAAAGAACCCCGGCGAGGGGAGUGAAAAAGAACCUGAAACCGUGUACGUACAAGCAGUGGGAGCACGCUUAGGCGUGUGACUGCGUACCUUUUGUAUAAUGGGUCAGCGACUUAUAUUCUGUAGCAAGGUUAACCGAAUAGGGGAGCCGAAGGGAAACCGAGUCUUAACUGGGCGUUAAGUUGCAGGGUAUAGACCCGAAACCCGGUGAUCUAGCCAUGGGCAGGUUGAAGGUUGGGUAACACUAACUGGAGGACCGAACCGACUAAUGUUGAAAAAUUAGCGGAUGACUUGUGGCUGGGGGUGAAAGGCCAAUCAAACCGGGAGAUAGCUGGUUCUCCCCGAAAGCUAUUUAGGUAGCGCCUCGUGAAUUCAUCUCCGGGGGUAGAGCACUGUUUCGGCAAGGGGGUCAUCCCGACUUACCAACCCGAUGCAAACUGCGAAUACCGGAGAAUGUUAUCACGGGAGACACACGGCGGGUGCUAACGUCCGUCGUGAAGAGGGAAACAACCCAGACCGCCAGCUAAGGUCCCAAAGUCAUGGUUAAGUGGGAAACGAUGUGGGAAGGCCCAGACAGCCAGGAUGUUGGCUUAGAAGCAGCCAUCAUUUAAAGAAAGCGUAAUAGCUCACUGGUCGAGUCGGCCUGCGCGGAAGAUGUAACGGGGCUAAACCAUGCACCGAAGCUGCGGCAGCGACGCUGAUGCGUUGUUGGGUAGGGGAGCGUUCUGUAAGCCUGCGAAGGUGUGCUGUGAGGCAUGCUGGAGGUAUCAGAAGUGCGAAUGCUGACAUAAGUAACGAUAAAGCGGGUGAAAAGCCCGCUCGCCGGAAGACCAAGGGUUCCUGUCCAACGUUAAUCGGGGCAGGGUGAGUCGACCCCUAAGGCGAGGCCGAAAGGCGUAGUCGAUGGGAAACAGGUUAAUAUUCCUGUACUUGGUGUUACUGCGAAGGGGGGACGGAGAAGGCUAUGUUGGCCGGGCGACGGUUGUCCCGGUUUAAGCGUGUAGGCUGGUUUUCCAGGCAAAUCCGGAAAAUCAAGGCUGAGGCGUGAUGACGAGGCACUACGGUGCUGAAGCAACAAAUGCCCUGCUUCCAGGAAAAGCCUCUAAGCAUCAGGUAACAUCAAAUCGUACCCCAAACCGACACAGGUGGUCAGGUAGAGAAUACCAAGGCGCUUGAGAGAACUCGGGUGAAGGAACUAGGCAAAAUGGUGCCGUAACUUCGGGAGAAGGCACGCUGAUAUGUAGGUGAAGUCCCUUGCGGAUGGAGCUGAAAUCAGUCGAAGAUACCAGCUGGCUGCAACUGUUUAUUAAAAACACAGCACUGUGCAAACACGAAAGUGGACGUAUACGGUGUGACGCCUGCCCGGUGCCGGAAGGUUAAUUGAUGGGGUCAGCGCAAGCGAAGCUCUUGAUCGAAGCCCCGGUAAACGGCGGCCGUAACUAUAACGGUCCUAAGGUAGCGAAAUUCCUUGUCGGGUAAGUUCCGACCUGCACGAAUGGCGUAAUGAUGGCCAGGCUGUCUCCACCCGAGACUCAGUGAAAUUGAACUCGCUGUGAAGAUGCAGUGUACCCGCGGCAAGACGGAAAGACCCCGUGAACCUUUACUAUAGCUUGACACUGAACAUUGAGCCUUGAUGUGUAGGAUAGGUGGGAGGCUUGGAAGUGUGGACGCCAGUCUGCAUGGAGCCGACCUUGAAAUACCACCCUUUAAUGUUUGAUGUUCUAACGUUGACCCGUAAUCCGGGUUGCGGACAGUGUCUGGUGGGUAGUUUGACUGGGGCGGUCUCCUCCUAAAGAGUAACGGAGGAGCACGAAGGUUGGCUAAUCCUGGUCGGACAUCAGGAGGUUAGUGCAAUGGCAUAAGCCAGCUUGACUGCGAGCGUGACGGCGCGAGCAGGUGCGAAAGCAGGUCAUAGUGAUCCGGUGGUUCUGAAUGGAAGGGCCAUCGCUCAACGGAUAAAAGGUACUCCGGGGAUAACAGGCUGAUA
RNAcentral lists this ribosomal RNA (2459 nucleotides) under human gut metagenome. Its description in RNAcentral is "bacterial LSU rRNA". It matches the Rfam family "Bacterial large subunit ribosomal RNA", at positions 1 to 2487 of the family's 2925-position model. The record is from RNAcentral.